UCAGACCAGGACUCCAGCCCUCAGAAUGGCUCCUUCCACAUUCAAGAGUCCAAAUUUGGCUUCAUCUCCUUUUGGAAGAGGUUCAUUCCUUGGAAAUUUUCUAGACCAUACAAACCAACUUGUGGCAGGUAGCUCCGGUUCUGACUGCCUAGGUCCUGACUUGUGCAUCACGUCCUCUGACCUUCGUUUUCAUCUGAUAGUUUUUGUUGCAAGUCGACUCUGGAAUGAUCUUCUCCUAGUGUAAUUCCAGCAUGAAAUUGUGACGAAUAAAAUAUUCCACUUGCCUCUCCAAACCUAAGUGUCAAAGUACCAGGUGAUGUGGGCAGGGUUGGGUCAUCUAAUCCUACCUGGUACUUCUGGGAGCACCUGUGUAGUUGGGCAAAAAAGAGGAGAGGUAAACUUGAGUUGGAUGUAGUGGCACAGGCCUGUAAUUUCAGGAUUCAGGCAGCUGAAGCAGGAUGACCACUGUGAAUGAGGAAAAGAGUGAGGAGGGACACAGCCAGCCAUGUGGCUCAUAUGGUAGGAUGCUUGCCUUGAAGAGACGAUGCUCUGGAUUCAUUCUCUGGUACACAUGAGCCAGGCAUGGUAGAAUCCAUGUGUAAUCCUUGUGCUCAGGGGCUGGAGGCGGGAGGAUCAGACACAGUCAUCCUUAACUACUUAGUGAAUUUGAUUCAAGCCUGGGACACAUGAGACCUUGUCUUUUAAAAAGGGAGUCUGGAGACAGGUGUGCUGAUAUGCAUCUAUAAUCCUCUGGACUUCAAGGCCAGUCGCUAGUACACAAGACUGAAACCAGUUUGGACUACCAGAACCCUGUCUCAGACAACAACAACAAACCCCUUUCAAGCCCAGGAAAGAAAGUCCCUAGGACUCCCAUGUUGGAAGAAGAGAACUCGUUCAAGCUUGAUUUUCCACAGGAGUACCUCUGUACAUUCGUCUGCAAAGUAACACAAAAUAAACAAGUAAAGCUUAUUUAAAAAAAAAAUAAAACCUCAAAGGUUUAUAAUUUAAAAA
Molecule: long non-coding RNA, 1011 nt
Filed under: Mus caroli (Ryukyu mouse)
Lineage: Eukaryota; Metazoa; Chordata; Mammalia; Rodentia; Muridae
Description: predicted gene 29611 (MGP_CAROLIEiJ_G0004424.1)
Source: RNAcentral